Molecule: ribosomal RNA, 492 nt
Filed under: uncultured bacterium
Lineage: Bacteria
Description: partial 16S ribosomal RNA
Rfam family: Bacterial small subunit ribosomal RNA
Source: RNAcentral
AGUGAACGCUGGCGGUAGGCCUAACACAUGCAAGUCGAACGGCAGCACAGUAAGAGCUUGCUCUUACAGGUGGCGAGUGGCGGACGGGUGAGGAAUACAUCGGAAUCUACUUUUUCGUGGGGGGUAACGUAGGGAAACUUACGCUAAUACCGCAUACGACCUACGGGUGAAAGCAGGGGAUCUUCGCACCUUGCGCGAUUGAAUGAGCCGAUGUCGGAUUAGCUAGUUGGCGGGGUAAAGGCCCACCAAGGCGACGAUCCGUAGCUGGUCUGAGAGGAUGAUCAGCCACACUGGAACUGAGACACGGUCCAGACUCCUACGGGAGGCAGCAGUGGGGAAUAUUGGACAAUGGGCGCAAGCCUGAUCCAGCCAUACCGCGUGGGUGAAGAAGGCCUUCGGGUUGUAAAGCCCUUUUGUUGGGAAAGAAAAGCAGCAGGUUAAUACCCCGCUGUUCUGACGGUACCCAAAGAAUAAGCACCGGCUAACUUCGUG